CCGAGUGUUUACGCUCACCAAACCCACUGUGUAACCUUACCACUGUCGUUGCUUCGGCGGGCGCAGACCCCCCCCGGAAGGGGAGGGGCGCGGGCCCGCCGACGGCACCCAAACUCUUCUGUAUCUUGCUCUAGCGUCUCUUCUGAGUAACAAAAGACAAACAAUCA
RNAcentral lists this unclassified non-coding RNA (167 nucleotides) under Graphium sp. JCM 7440. RNAcentral describes it as "ITS1". The record is from RNAcentral. RNAcentral also lists the same sequence under 1 other name. Lineage: Eukaryota; Fungi; Ascomycota; Sordariomycetes; Microascales; Graphiaceae.